AUUUAUAUAGUUUAAGAAAAACCUUAUAUUUUCAAUAUAAAAAUAAAUUUUUAUUUUAUAAAUA
RNAcentral lists this transfer RNA (64 nucleotides) under Macrohyliota sp. 1 MJ-2020. Its description in RNAcentral is "tRNA-Glu". Lineage: Eukaryota; Metazoa; Arthropoda; Insecta; Coleoptera; Silvanidae. The record is from RNAcentral.